This is a long non-coding RNA of Perca fluviatilis (European perch), 266 nucleotides long. RefSeq lists it as uncharacterized. The transcript has 3 exons. NCBI's taxonomy places the organism in Eukaryota, Metazoa, Chordata, Actinopteri, Perciformes, Percidae. The record is from RefSeq and is a predicted model, not a curated record.
AAACCAGUCGAUGAAGCUCAGUGAGCGGACCUACUCGAGGGUUACAGUGGCUGUGGGCCAACAAGGACCUGCCUUUCAUCGCUGUGACAAUGAACAGUGCUACCGUUUCCGAGACUUUGUUGAAAACUCAGAGGCGCGAUUUAAAGCGCUAUGACGGGAAGCGGUGCUCAAGUGCAGUCCCAGUUUGCACAACAGGACAGAAGUCAGCCAAAAGCCAGCUUGGAGAAAUGUGCAGACGGUGGCCUAAUAAGAUCUGCUAACUGGAA